Molecule: long non-coding RNA, 7887 nt
Filed under: Nicotiana tabacum (common tobacco)
Lineage: Eukaryota; Viridiplantae; Streptophyta; Magnoliopsida; Solanales; Solanaceae
Description: long non-coding RNA (NTAB_LNC006284)
Source: RNAcentral
AAAAAGAUUGAAUCCGUCGUUUUUCCAUAUGAGAAGAGACAAAGAGAAUUCUCCAGCUGCUUCUUCAAUCAGCCAUUUUCUUUCAUUUGAAAAGAGAUCAGUCGAAAUUCUCAAGACCAAAAAAAGCUGACCUAAAAGGAACGGAAAAGCUGGCAGCACUGUUCUUCAUGAGAAUUAAAAGCGCCGCAGUACACAAAAACCUGACCUCCCUUGGCUUCGUCCUCUCCACAUCGAUUGAAGCAGCGCCAUUGACGACCAAAAAACGACAUCACUCCUUCACUUCCAUUAUUCUACAUCCCGUUAAUGAAAGCGAGGUUCGGCGAAGUUGUCAUGUUCCGUUCGAGGCUUUCGAUUGUUGGUCCGGUGAGUAGUAGCUCAGUCCAUUUUUGUGAAGGUUUGUUUUGAGAUCUAUUUCAUUCAAUUUUGUUUUUGUUUGUUCUAUUACUAUGUAUAUGAAUACAUACCCUUUUUUUGCUUUUCUUGUGAAGUUUAUAAAAAUGAAGUAUGUUCUCUUACUGCUUGUUUUACUUUCAUUUAGUUAACGAGCUUCAUUAUUGGUUUAGGUAAUAAAUUUCCUACUCAUGUGAUUGCACUGUUUUAUCUUUAAAAAAUAUCAUAUUACAUAUUAGUUUUUAUGUUUGGUGAAUUGGCCGUAAAAGAUGUGUGUUCCUUUUUGUUUGUCAGAACUUAGAUUCUUAUACUACAGUGACUGAAUGGGAUGAGUAAAAUUUUUCGGGCUUAUAUGUGAUUUCAAACAAAUGAUAGAGAUAAAAAAGUUAUGCAACUAUAAUUACACAAAGCGUUAAGAAUGUAUGAACUUAUUGCUGCAUCACUAUUGUUUGUUUGUCGACUCAUGAUAAUUUGAAUGGAUGAAUCACGUUUACAAGUACUUUUUUGUUUAUUGUGAUUUACCUCACCGUGAUUGAGAAAUUAAGCCAUUGAUUCUUAUUUACCACAUUUGAGACUAAGCUAUGUGUGAAACAUAUGAACCUCGUAAUUUGCUUUAGGCGUGUUGAAUAAUAAUUAUCAUGGCUAUUGAAAUCCGGGGGUGCAUUUCAUGUGACCCGGUUCUAAUUUCCAACAAGAUUAAAUAGAACGUGUCGUGAACCACGGGUGCUUUUCAUGUAGCGUGGCUUACGAUAUGUUUUAAAUAACCUUGAAUUUUCCCGAAAUAUUAAAGGCGGCUAAAAAGUGUAAAUGCACAUAGGUCUAAACAUGUAUUAAAAUCAGAUAAUAGGCCAAUUAUAAUAGUUUGAGCGACCGUUCUAGAACCACGGAACCAGGAAAUUCCUAACACCUUCUCCCGGGUUAACAGAAUUCCUUACCCGAAUUUCUGUUUUCGUGGACUAUAGAACAGAUUCAAUCUUUCCUCAAUUCGGGAUUCAAACCGGUGACUUGGGACACCAUAAACUAUCCCAAGUGGAGACUCUGAAUUUAAAAUAAAUAAUUCCGUUUUGAUUGUCACUUUAAGUUGGAAAAAACUCCCUUAUACCCCUUAGCGGGGUGGUAAAAAGGAGGUGUGACAGCCAUAUAGAUUCCUCUGUAUUAUUUGAUCCCGGUUCCACCUUUUCUUAUGUGUCAUCAUACUUUGCUCGUUAUUUGGAUACGCCCUGUGAGUCUCUUAUUUCAUCUGUUCAUGUAUCUAGUCUGGUGGGCGAUACUAUUAUCAUAGACCGUGUGUACCAGUCGUGUGUGGUGACUAUUGGGGAUCUGGAAACCCGAGUGGAUCUUUUACUAUUAUGUAUGGUGGACUUCGGUGUUAUUUUAGGCAUGGAUUGGCUAUCUCCGUGUCGUGCUAUUCUGGGUUGUCAUGCCAAGAUAGUCAUAUUGUCUAUACCUGGUGUGCCAUGAAUUGAGUGGCAAGGUUUGACUAAUUAUGUUCCCAGUAGAGUAAUCUCAUUCUUGAAGGCCCGACGUAUGGUUGGGAAGGGUUGUCUUUCGUAUCUAGCCUUUGUGAGGGAUGUCGGUGCAGAGACUCCCAGGAUUUAUUCUGCUCCAAUUGUGAGGAAGUUUUCUGAUGUGUUUCCUACAGACCUGUCGGGCAUGCCACCUGACAGUGAUAUUGAUUUUGGUAAUGACCUGGUGCCGGGCACUCAGCCCAUUUCUAUUCCUCCGUAUCGUAUGGUACCUGCGGAGUUGAAGGGGUUAAAGGAGCAGCUUCAAGAACUCCUGGAUAAGGGGUUCAUUCGGCCUAGUGUGUCACCUUGGGGUGCGCUGGUUCUAUUUAUGAAGAAGAAGGAUUUCACUAUGAGGAUGUGCAUUGAUUAUAGGCAGUUGAACAAAGUAACAGUUAAGAACAAGUAUCCUUUGCCUCGCAUUGAUGAUUUAUUCGACUAGCUUCAGGUAGCGAGAGUGUUCUCCAAGAUUGAUCUCUGUUCAGGUUAUCACCAGUUGACGAUCAGGGACUCGGAUAUCUUUAAGACAACUUUUAGGACUCGAUAUGGUCAUUAUGAGUUCUUGGUGAUGUCUUUUGAGCUGACCAAUGCCCCAACAACGUUCAUGCAUUUGAUGAACAACAUGUUCUGUCCUUAUCUCAACUCGUUUGUCAUAGACUUCAUUGAUGAUAUUUUGGUGUAUUUGCAUAGUCAGGAAGAGCACGUGAAGCGUUUGAGAGUUGUGUUGCAGAUAUUGAGAGAGGAGAAGCUUUAUGCAAAAUUCUCCAAGUGUGAGUUUUGGCUCAGUUCAGUGGCUUUCUUGGGGCAUGUGGUCUCCAGCGAGGGUAUUCAGGUUGAUUCGAAGAAGAUAAAGGUUGUUCAGAGUUGGCCCGGACCGUCCUCAGCCAUAGAUAUUCACAACUUUCUUGGUUUGGCGGGUUAUUACCGCCAGUUUGUUUAGGGAUUCUCAUCUAUCGCAUCGCCCUUUACCAUGUUGACUCAGAAGGGUGAUUCAUUUGUAUGGUUGGAUUAGUGUCCGAAGAGCUUUCAGAAGCUCAAGACAGCCUUGACCACAGCUCUAGUGUUAGNNNNNNNNNNNNNNNNNNNNNNNNNNNNNNNNNNNNNNNNNNNNNNNNNNNNNNNNNNNNNNNNNNNNNNNNNNNNNNNNNNNNNNNNNNNNNNNNNNNNNNNNNNNNNNNNNNNNNNNNNNNNNNNNNNNNNNNNNNNNNNNNNNNNNNNNNNNNNNNNNNNNNNNNNNNNNNNNNNNNNNNNNNNNNNNNNNNNNNNNNNNNNNNNNNNNNNNNNNNNNNNNNNNNNNNNNNNNNNNNNNNNNNNNNNNNNNNNNNNNNNNNNNNNNNNNNNNNNNNNNNNNNNNNNNNNNNNNNNNNNNNNNAUUUAUGCUUCUCGUCAGUUGAAGUCCCCAUGAGAAGAACUACACCGUUCAUUGAUUUGGAGUUGGCUUCCAUAGUUCACGCGUUAAAGAUUUGGAGGCAUUACUUGUAUGGUGUGUCUUGUGAGGUGUUUACUGAUCAUCGUAGCCUUUAGCAUUUGUUCAAGCAGAAGGAUCUCAAUUUGAGGCAGCGGAGAUGGUUGGAAGGCCAAUGUGGUGGCCAAUAUAUGGUGUGUCUUGUGAGGUGUUUACUAUCUUGUACCAUCCGGGGAAGGCCAAUGUGGUGGCCGAUGCCUUGAGUUGAAAGGCGGUAAGUAUGGGGAGUUUUGCAUAUAUUCCAGUUGGGGAGAGACCUCUUGCAGUUGAUGUUCAGGCCUUGGCCAAUCAGUUCGUGAGGUUAGAUAUUUUGGAGCGCAGUCAGGUAUUGGCUUGUGUGAUUUCUCAGUCUUCCUUAUACGAUCACAUCAAAGAGUGCCAGUAUGAUGAUCUACAUUUGCUUGUCCUUAAGGAUAGAGUUUAGCACGAUGAUGCCAGAGAUGUGACCAUUGGUGAUGAUGGGGUGUUGAGGAGUCAAGGCUGGAUAUGUGUGCCCAAUGUAGAUGAGCUUCGAGAGUUGAUUCUGGAGGAGGCCCACAGCUCACGGUAUUCCUUUCAUCCGGGUGCCGCAAAGAUGUAUCAGGAUUCGAGACAACAUUAUUGGUGGAUGAGAAUGAAGAAAGACAUUGUGUGAUUUGUAGCUCGGUGUCUCAACUGUCAGUAGGUGAAAUAUGAGCAUCGGAGACCGGGUGGCUUGCAUCAGCAGAUGGAUAUUGCGGAGUGGAAGUGGGAGCGGAUCACCAUGGACUUCGUAGUUUGGCUCUCACGGACCUUGAGGAAGUUCGACGCUAUUUGGGUGAUUAUGGAUCGGCUGACCAAGUCCGCGAACUUCAUUCCUGUAUGUACUACCUAUUCUUCAGUGAGGUUGGCAGAGAUCUAUAUCUGUGAGAUUAUUCGUUUGCAUGGUGUCCCAAUUUCUAUCAUUUUAGAUAGGGGCACUUAGUUUACUUUACAGUUUUGGAGGUCUAUGCACCAAGAGUUGGGUACUCAGGUUGAGUUGAGCACAACUUUUUACCCUUAGAUGGACGGACAGUCCGAGCGCACUAUUCAGAUAUUGGAGGACAUAUUGCGUGCUUGUGUUAUUGAUUUUGGAGGGUCAUGCGAUCCAUUUCACCGCUUGCAUAGUUUGCUUAUAACAACAGCUACUAGUUGAGUAUUCAGAUGGAUCCAUAUGAGGCUUUGUAUGGUAGGCGGUGUAGAUCUCCAGUUGGUUGGUUUGAGCCGGAUGAGGAUAGGCUAUUGGGGAAUGACUUGGUGCAGGAUGCUUUAGAAAAGGUGAAGGUAAUUCAGGAGAGGCUUCGUACAGUGCAGUCGAGACAAAAGAGCUAUGCUGAUAGGAAGGUUCGGGAUGUGUCCUACAUGGUUGGUGAGAAGGUUGUAUUGAAGGGUUCGCCUAUGAAGGGUUUUAUGGGAUUUGGGAAGAAGGGUAAAUUGAGUUCUCGGUUCAUUGGGCCUUUUGAGGUGCUUUGGAGGAUUGGGGAGGUAUCUUAUGAGCUUUCUUUGCCAUCUAGCUUGUCGAGUAUGCAUCCGGUAUUUCAUGUUUCUAUGCUCCAGAAGUAUAUUAGGGACCUGUCUUAUGUUAUGGAUUUCAGCAUGGUUCAGUUAGAUGAUUAUUUGACUUAUGAUGUGGAACCAGUAGCUAUUUUGGGGCGUUUGGUUCGAAAGUUGAGAUCAAAGGAUAUAUCUUCAGUGAAAGUGCAAUGGGCCGGCCCGUGGAGGAGGCUACCUGGGAGACCGAGCGGCAGAUGCGGAGCAGAUAUCCCCACCUGUUUGAGGCUUCACGUAUGUUUCUUGACUCGUUCGAUGACGAACGUUUGUUUAAGAGGGGGAUGAUAUGACGACCUGACCAGUAAUCUCUUGAGUUACCGCUCCGUUUCUCCUAUUUCUGCUUCUUAUUGCUUUGUUUAUCGGUUCUAUAUGUGAUCGGGUUGGUUGUUUCGGGUUCAGAGAGGUUUUGAGAAGGUUUGAGACACUUAGUCUCUUUUGAGGAAGCUUAAGUUGGAAAAGUCAACUGGAGGUUCAGAUAGCUUCGGGAGGUGAUUUGGGACUUAGGAGCAUGAUCAAAAUGUGUUUUGGAGGUCCGGAGUAGAUUUAGGCUUGAAUUGGCGAAAUUGGAUUUUUGAAUUUUUUUGGUUGAUAGGUGAGAUUUUGAUAUAGGGAUUGGAUUGGAAUUCCAAAAGUUGUAGCAGUUGCGUUGUGUCAUUUGGGAUGUGUGUGCAAAAUUUUAGUUCAUUCGGACAUGGUUUGGUAGGCGUUUUGAUCAAAAGCGUAUUUUAGAAGAUUUUGGAAUUCUUAGGCUUGAUUCCGAUGCGAAUUUGGUGUUUUGGUGCCGUUUUGAGCAUUUCGAAGAUUGAAAAAAGUUUGAAUGAUGUUAUGGGAUAUGUUGGCAUGUUUGGUUGAGGUCCCGGGGGCCUCGGGUGAGUUUCGGGUGGUCAAUCGGACCAUUUCAUGUUUUGGAGAAUUGUAGAAAAUCUGUUGGAGUGUUGCAGAAAAGUUGACCUUCGCGUUCGCGAGUGGGCCCUUGCAUUCGCGAAGGGUUAGCAGGUGAGGCUGAGGAUUUAGCCUUCACGUUCGUGAGGGAGGCUCGUCGUUCGCGAAGGGCUGGGGUCUUGUGCAUCGCGUUCGCGAGGUAAUGCUGCGUUCACGUAGAGGAAAGUUGAGCGGCUGGGUUGAGGUUGAUUUGUUCUUCGCGUUCGAGGUGAGUUAGGGAGCUAAGCCUUUGCAUUCGCGAGAUAGGUGUCGCGAUCACGAUGAAGGAAUUUCGAUCUAAGUAAGUUUGUGCUUCGCGAACGCGAGGCGUUGACCUCGUUCGCGAAGAAGGAUUUGAUGCCUGGGCAGAAUGUUUAAAUAGCCAUUUGGUCAGCGAUUUAUGGGUUAACUUCCACCAUUUUUGAGCGAUAUUAGAGCUUUUUGAAGAGGAUAACACAGGGAUUCAAGGGGAAAUACUUGGAGGUAAGAUUUAUGGACUUAAUUCUCGAUUCUAAUGUGGAUUCUACCUAAUUAAUCAUGGAAUUUAAGCUUAAUAUUGAAGAACUAGGGCUUGUAAUUGGAGACCUAGAAUUUGGGAUUUGAGGGGUCGUUUGUGGUUGGAUUUUGAUGCUUUUGGUAUGAAUGAACUCGGGGAGUGAUUUGAUUUCUUUCGAGUGAGCUUUGUUACCUUAGCAUAUUUUGAUGGUUUUGCACUGAUUUUGGUUAGAUUUGGAGCAUCCGGAGACCGAUUCGAGGGGCAAAGUCAUCGCGACCUAGAGAUUUGGACCAGGUAGAGGUGAGUAAUGAUUGUAAAUAUUGUCCUGAAGGUAUGAAACCCCAGAUUUGCACAUCGUGGUGCUAUAUUGAGGUGACACACACGCUAGAUAAUGAGCGUGGGGUCGUGCACCAUUGGGGAGUGUGACUUAUCCAUCCCGAAUGACUGUUUUACCAUGUAUUUGAUUGAAAACUAUUUGCUAUCAUCAUGUUUUGGGCUAAAUGCCAUAUUUGGGCCUCGUGCCAAUCAUUUGAACCCUUAGGGGAUCUUUACUGAUAUUUCCGCACUAUUUUGACUUUAUACUUGUACUCAGUCAUGCUAUAUUCUUUUGUUUUUCUAACUCAACCAUGUUUACUUUGUUUUAAACAUUAAAUGAUAUUUUCAAUGAUAAAUUGGGUUGAGCAUCAUGUUUUACUAUUGCCCGAGUGACUUAUGAGAUUCUAACUGAGUAAGGCCGAGGGUCUGUGUGUGAGGAUACACUGAUUAUGAUUAUGAGGCCGAGGGCCUGAGUUGUACGCCACGAGGUGGCUUGAUAUGAGGCCGAGAGCCUAUUGAUUAUGCCACGAGAUGACUUGAUAGUGCGCUUGGGCCAUAAGGGGCCCCUGCAGAAGUCUGCACACCCUAGUGAGCGCUGGUACCCCCUAUGAUAUGAGAUAUAGCCCGAGGGGCUGGUAUUGUUCCAUGUGUUGCCUGAGGGGCCGGAGCUGUGGGUAUUGUGCUCGAGGGGCGCUUCUUUAUGUGAUUAUCUUUUCUAGUUGCCUGUCAUUUACUUGCUUAACUGUUAGAAAGGCAUUUCAAAGAAGUUUAAACUGAACUAAAGUGACCUUACAUAUUUUCAUUAUUUUAUUACUUUUACUGGCCUUUAAUGCUUCUUUAUAGCCUCCUGAUAUGCCUUUACGGACUUCUUAUUACUCAGCCUACAUUUAUUGUUAUUACUCACUAAUUUGGAGUACUCACUUUACUCCCUACACCCCGUGUGCUGAUUCAGGCGCAUCAGGUCCUGCUUGCGAGGGUUGAGAGCUUCUGGCAGACUUCAGAGAUUCACUAAGUAGCUGCUCGGCAUUUGCAGCCCAGUGCUUCUCCCUUUAUCUUUCUUUCUCCUGUUUUAGUUAUGUAAUAGUUGUGUAGACUCUUUUCAGACUUGUAGUUUUUAUGAUAGAUGCUCAUGACUGGUGACACCCCGAUGCUGGGCUAUGUCUAUUCCACAAUCUGUACUAUUUAUCUUAUUUUGGGAUUAUUAUCAUUAUGUUAAAGACUUAGUUUUUAUUAUUUAAUUGCUUAAA